GAGACAAUACCAUUUUCUUGCAGAGUCAUGUAAAUUAAAAUAAAUAAAGUGCUUCUGAUAUUAAACAAAAUAGUUUUCAUUGCAACCUUUCCAAAUAAAUAUGUAACAAAUUUCAGUUAUUCAUAUUGUUAGACAACAAAUAAAGAGACCACAUUAUCUUUAACCAUCUAUGUGGGAACUUCAACAAGGAAGUUGUGUGCCAAAGAGAUGCAAUUUUGAAGUUAGAGCAAGGAAUCGUUCACCUCAUCACCUAAAAGAGUAGUGAUUCGAUAUCUGCUAUUCUGCACACCUACAAAGAGAGAAUAAAGCUGACGCUCAAUAGCCCUGCCCCAGUGUACUACGGGAGUUCGGACGAACCAGUAGCUUUUGUGUAGAUUAUGUAUUUGUAUUAGAAAAUUCAGUAUAUUUAUAUAAAAAAUUAAUGUGCUAACCCACAUAACAAUGUUGACUUUCGGCCCAAUGGUAAACAGGGAGACCUUAAGGUUUUCCACCCCUGAAGUUGGGGUUCUAACCCAACUUUUUAGCAUUGAUAAUUCUUUUUCGCUGGGGAAGGGAUAUUUGAGCAAAUUUCUUCAAAUAAUUAAAAAGAAAAAACAGCUACA
This 602-nucleotide long non-coding RNA is filed under the name Capsicum annuum. RNAcentral describes it as "long non-coding RNA (CANN_LNC011893)". The record is from RNAcentral. Lineage: Eukaryota; Viridiplantae; Streptophyta; Magnoliopsida; Solanales; Solanaceae.